RNAcentral lists this ribosomal RNA (774 nucleotides) under uncultured Neocallimastigales. Its description in RNAcentral is "partial large subunit ribosomal RNA". It matches the Rfam family "Eukaryotic large subunit ribosomal RNA", at positions 24 to 646 of the family's 3401-position model. The record is from RNAcentral. Lineage: Eukaryota; Fungi; Neocallimastigomycota; Neocallimastigomycetes; Neocallimastigales.
UAUGUGAUCGUCUCUCGCAUAUCAAUAAGCGGAGGAAAAGAAACUAACAAGGAUUCCCCUAGUAACGGCGAGUGAAGCGGGAAGAGCUCAAAUUUGAAAUCUUAAAGGGUUUCCCUUUACGAAUUGUAGUUUAAAGAAGUGUUUUCUGUUGAGGUUUUGGUAAAAGUUCUUUGGAAUAGGACAUCAUAGAGGGUGAGAAUCCCGUAUUUGACCUUUACUUUCAACUUUGUGAUACACUUUCAAAGAGUCGGAUUGUUUGGGAAUGCAGUCCAAAAUGGGUGGUAAAUCUCAUCUAAAGCUAAAUAUUGGCGAGAGACCGAUAGCGAACAAGUACCGUGAGGGAAAGAUGAAAAGAACUUUGAAAAGAGAGUUAAACAGUACGUGAAAUUGUCAAAAGGGAAGCGUUUGACACCAGUGUUGUUUUUCUGAAAAUCAAUUAAAGAACUGUUUAUGCUAAGCUGUUUAGACUUUAUCAGCUAACUGUUUAGUUUUGAGCUUUUCUUUAAUGCACUUUUCAGUUAACAAGUCAACAUCAAUUUCUUUUGCUGUAAAAAAGCUUGAGGAAGGUGGCUUGAGAUUCGUCUUAGGUGUUUAUAGCCUCUUGCCUAUGCAGUCGGAGAGAUUGAGGUCUGCAGCGUAGAUCCUUCGGGGCUAAAUGCAUUUGUGCUAAGUUAUAGCAUUUUAUAGACAACUUGUUGACUAUGAUUUGUCUUGUAGCUUACUCGCUUAUGUUAUUUUACCUACGCUUAGGAUGUUGAUCUGUAGUGCGUGCGC